AUACGGAGGGGGCUAGCGUUGUUCGGAAUUACUGGGCGUAAAGCGCACGUAGGCGGAUUAAAAAGUUAGAGGUGAAAUCCCAGGGCUUAACCCUGGAACUGCCUUUAAAACUAGUAGUCUAGAGUUCGAGAGAGGUGAGUGGAAUUCCAAGUGUAGAGGUGAAAUUCGUAGAUAUUUGGAGGAACACCAGUGGCGAAGGCGGCUCACUGGCUCGAUACUGACGCUGAGGUGCGAAAGCGUGGGGAGCAAACAGGAUUAGAAACCCGAGUAGUCC
This 274-nucleotide ribosomal RNA is filed under the name uncultured bacterium. Its description in RNAcentral is "partial 16S ribosomal RNA". It matches the Rfam family "Bacterial small subunit ribosomal RNA", at positions 523 to 796 of the family's 1533-position model. The record is from RNAcentral.